UGCUACAAUCAGAAGUGCAGUAUCUUUGUGC
This 31-nucleotide non-coding RNA is filed under the name Mus musculus (house mouse). The record is from RNAcentral. Lineage: Eukaryota; Metazoa; Chordata; Mammalia; Rodentia; Muridae. RNAcentral also lists the same sequence under 1 other name.